RNAcentral lists this ribosomal RNA (492 nucleotides) under uncultured bacterium. RNAcentral's name for it is "partial 16S ribosomal RNA". It matches the Rfam family "Bacterial small subunit ribosomal RNA", at positions 29 to 507 of the family's 1533-position model. The record is from RNAcentral.
AGUGAACGCUGGCGGUAGGCCUAACACAUGCAAGUCGAACGGCAGCACAGUAAGAGCUUGCUCUUACGGGUGGCGAGUGGCGGACGGGUGAGGAAUACAUCGGAAUCUACUUUUUCGUGGGGGAUAACGUAGGGAAACUUACGCUAAUACCGCAUACGACCUACGGGUGAAAGCAGGGGAUCUUCGGACCUUGCGCGAUUGAAUGAGCCGAUGUCGGAUUAGCUAGUUGGCGGGGUAAAGGCCCACCAAGGCGACGAUCCGUAGCUGGUCUGAGAGGAUGAUCAGCCACACUGGAACGUAGACACGGUCCAGACUCCUACGGGAGGCAGCAGUGGGGAAUAUUGGACAAUAGGCGCAAGCCUUAUCCAGCCAUACCGCGUGGGUUGAGAAGGCCUUCGGGUUGUAAAGCCCUUUUGUUGGGAAAGAAAAGCAGCAGGUUAAUACCCCGCUGUUCUGACGGUACCCAAAGAAUAAGCACCGGCUAACUUCGUG